UACAGAGGUCUCAAGCGUUGUUCGGAUUCAUUGGGCGUAAAGCGCGCGUAGGCGGUUUGGUAAGUCGGAUGUGAAAUCCCGAGGCUCAACCUCGUGACUGCAUCCGAUACUGCCCGACUAGAGGUAGGUAGGGGAGAUCGGAAUUCCUGGUGUAGCGGUGAAAUGCGUAGAUAUCUGGAGGAACACCGGUGGCGAAGGCGACAUCCUGGACCGGUAUUGACGCUGAGGCGCGAAAGCCAGGGGAGCAAACGGG
Molecule: ribosomal RNA, 253 nt
Filed under: uncultured bacterium
Lineage: Bacteria
Description: partial 16S ribosomal RNA
Rfam family: Bacterial small subunit ribosomal RNA
Source: RNAcentral